Molecule: ribosomal RNA, 253 nt
Filed under: uncultured bacterium
Lineage: Bacteria
Description: partial 16S ribosomal RNA
Rfam family: Bacterial small subunit ribosomal RNA
Source: RNAcentral
UACAGAGGUGGCAAGCGUUGUUCGGAAUUACUGGGCGUAAAGGGCGCGUAGGCGGCCUCCUAAGUCGGACGUGAAAGCCCCAGGCUUAACCUGGGAACUGCGUCUGAUACUGGGAGGCUUGGAUUCGGGAGAGGGAUGUGGAAUUCCAGGUGUAGCGGUGAAAUGCGUAGAUAUCUGGAGGAACACCGGUGGCGAAGGCGGCAUCCUGGACCGAGAUCGACGCUGAGGCGCGAAAGCUAGGGGAGCAAACGGG